AUUAGAUGAGCCUAUAUUAGAUUAGCUAGUUGGUGGAGUAAUAGCCUACCAAGGCAAUGAUCUAUAGCUGAUCUGAGAGGAUGAUCAGCCACACUGGAACUGAGAUACGGUCCAGACUCCUACGGGAGGCAGCAGUGGGGAAUAUUGGACAAUGGGCGAAAGCCUGAUCCAGCCAUGCCGCAUGAGUGAAGAAGGCCUUUGGGUUGUAAAGCUCUUUUAGUGAGGAAGAUAAUGACGGUACUCACAGAAGAAGUCCUGGUUAACUCCGUGCCAGCAGCCGCGGUAAUACGGAGAGGGCUAGCGUUAUUCGGAAUUAUUGGGCGUAAAGGGCGCGUAGGCUGAUUAAUAAGUUAAAAGUGAAAUCCCGAGGCUUAACCUUGGAAUUGCUUUUAAAACUAUUAAUCUAGAGAUUGAAAGAGGGUAGAGGAAUUCCUGAUGUAGAGGUAAAAUUCGUAAUUAUUAGGAGGAACACCAGCGGUGAAGGGGUCUAUCUGUUUCAAAUCUGACGCUGAAUCGUCUAGGCGUGGGGAGCAAACAGGAUUAGAUACCCUGGUAGUCCACGCUGUAAACGAUGAAUGUUAAAUAUGGGAAAG
This 593-nucleotide ribosomal RNA is filed under the name Wolbachia endosymbiont of Bemisia tabaci. RNAcentral's name for it is "bacterial SSU rRNA". It matches the Rfam family "Bacterial small subunit ribosomal RNA", at positions 220 to 830 of the family's 1533-position model. The record is from RNAcentral. Lineage: Bacteria; Pseudomonadati; Pseudomonadota; Alphaproteobacteria; Rickettsiales; Anaplasmataceae.